Molecule: long non-coding RNA, 560 nt
Organism: Rhinolophus ferrumequinum (greater horseshoe bat)
Lineage: Eukaryota; Metazoa; Chordata; Mammalia; Chiroptera; Rhinolophidae
Exons: 3
Source: RefSeq, a predicted model, not a curated record
AAAGGACUUAAUUUGAAGUUCAAUUAUGCCUUGCUGGGUCAGUGAUCUGUGAGCGGAAUUAUCGAGACCUGCUGAUGACCUGACAAGGAGAAAGCCAACCAGGACAAUUGGAAACAGUCCUAAUCUAAUGACUGGCGUCCUUCUAAGAAGAAGAGAAGAGACAGACAAACAGACACAGGGGAGAAGUCCGUAUGAAGAUGGAAGCAGACAUUGGAAUAAUGCAGCUACAAGCCAGGGAGCUCUAAGGAUGGACACCACCAGAAGCUAGGAAGAGCUUAGUAAAUCUCAAGUUCGCAGAGAGCUGUAUUUGGAGACUAUAUCCUUAUUGUGUAGGUGCCGUUGGCAGGCGAGACUCCUAAGGCAGCAGCUGAUGCUGCAGACAAGGCCUCCCCAGCAGAGGACGUGGAAGAAACCAAGACAGCAACACAAGUGCGCAGAAUCGGUCCAUGUCCCUGAGUUGGUUUGUGUUUCAAAUUGCCCCAUUAUAAGUUGAGAGAUGGCCCAGCCAAAGAAGAUUGGGGGAUGGAGACUUGAAUAACUGCUGCUCUCAACAGAAAUAA